UACGAGGGGGGCAAAUGUUGUUCGGAAUUACUGGGCGUAAAGGGCUCGUAGGCGGCCAACUAAGUCAGACGUGAAAUCCCUCAGCUUAACUGGGGAACUGCGUCUGAUACUGGAUGGCUUGGAUUUGGGAGAGGGAUGCGGAAUUCCAGGUGUAGCGGUGAAAUGCGUAGAUAUCUGGAGGAACACCGGUGGCGAAGGCGGCAUCCUGGACCAAUAUUGACGCUGAGGAGCGAAAGCUAGGGGAGCAAACAGG
This 253-nucleotide ribosomal RNA is filed under the name uncultured bacterium. Its description in RNAcentral is "partial 16S ribosomal RNA". It matches the Rfam family "Bacterial small subunit ribosomal RNA", at positions 524 to 776 of the family's 1533-position model. The record is from RNAcentral.